This 257-nucleotide ribosomal RNA is filed under the name uncultured bacterium. RNAcentral's name for it is "partial 16S ribosomal RNA". It matches the Rfam family "Bacterial small subunit ribosomal RNA", at positions 524 to 777 of the family's 1533-position model. The record is from RNAcentral.
UACGAAGGGGGCUAGCGUUGCUCGGAAUUACUGGGCGUAAAGCGCACGUAGGCGGCUUUCUAAGUCGGGGGGUGAAAUCCUGGAGCUUAACUCCAGAACUGCCUUCGAUACUGGAAAGCUCGAGUCCGGGAGAGGUGAGUGGAACUGCGAGUGUAGAGGUGAAAUUCGUAGAUAUUCGCAAGAACACCAGUGGCGAAGGCGGCUCACUGGCCCGGUACUGACGCUGAGGUGCGAAAAGCGUGGGGGAGCAAACAGGG